Small nuclear RNA from Balaenoptera musculus (blue whale), 107 nucleotides. The record is from Ensembl. NCBI's taxonomy places the organism in Eukaryota, Metazoa, Chordata, Mammalia, Artiodactyla, Balaenopteridae.
GUGCUUGCUUCGGCAGCACAUAUACUAAAAUUGGAACGUUACGGAAGAGAUUAGCAUGGCCCCUGCGCAAGGAUGACACGCAAAUUCAUGAAGCGUUCCAUGUUUUU